RNAcentral lists this transfer RNA (73 nucleotides) under Camelus bactrianus (Bactrian camel). It matches the Rfam family "tRNA". Rfam says of the family: Transfer RNA (tRNA) molecules are approximately 80 nucleotides in length. Lineage: Eukaryota; Metazoa; Chordata; Mammalia; Artiodactyla; Camelidae. RNAcentral also lists the same sequence under 1 other name. The record is from Rfam by way of RNAcentral.
GAGGGUGUAGCUCAAAUGGUAGAGCGCAUGCCUAGCAUGCACGUGGUCCUGGUUGCAAUCCCCAGUACCUCCA